AAUGGAUGAAAGUCCUUUAGCUGACCAGUACUAAUAGAGCGUUUGGCUUAUCUUUAAUAAAGCAU
RNAcentral lists this ribosomal RNA (65 nucleotides) under Campylobacter jejuni. RNAcentral describes it as "partial 23S ribosomal RNA". The record is from RNAcentral. Lineage: Bacteria; Pseudomonadati; Campylobacterota; Epsilonproteobacteria; Campylobacterales; Campylobacteraceae.